UGGUCAUUUCAUGUUGAAACACUAGUUCCUGUACAAUCUCCAAAGUUAAGCAAUGUUGAGCCUGGUCAAUACCUAGAUGGAUGACCACUUGGGAAUUGAAUACCUGGUGCUGUA
Non-coding RNA from Acanthosepion pharaonis, 114 nucleotides. Lineage: Eukaryota; Metazoa; Mollusca; Cephalopoda; Sepiida; Sepiidae. The record is from the annotation of a GenBank genome assembly.